GACGAACGCUGGCGGCGUGCUUAACACAUGCAAGUCGAACGGAAAGGCCCUGCUUUUGUGGGGUGCUCGAGUGGCGAACGGGUGAGUAACACGUGAGUAACCUGCCCUUGACUUUGGGAUAACUUCAGGAAACUGGGGCUCAUACCGGAUAGGAGCUCCUGCUGCAUGGUGGGGGUUGGAAAGUUUCGGCAGUUGGGGAUGGACUCGCGGCUUAUCAGCUUGUUGGUGGGGUAGUGGCUUACCAAGGCUUUGACGGGUAGCCGGCCUGAGAGGGUGACCGGCCACAUUGGGACUGAGAUACGGCCCAGACUCCUACGGGAGGCAGCAGUGGGGAAUAUUGCACGAUGGGCGGAAGCCUGAUGCAGCAACGCCGCGUGCGGGAUGACGGCCUUCGGGUUGUAAACCGCUUUCGCCUGUGACGAAGCGUGAGUGACGGUAAUGGGUAAAGAAGCACCGGCUAACUACGUG
Molecule: ribosomal RNA, 468 nt
Filed under: uncultured bacterium
Lineage: Bacteria
Description: partial 16S ribosomal RNA
Rfam family: Bacterial small subunit ribosomal RNA
Source: RNAcentral